UACGGAAGGCAGCAGUGGGGAAUAUUGCACAAUGGGCGCAAGCCUGAUGCAGCCAUGCCGCGUGUAUGAAGAAGGCCUUCGGGUUGUAAAGUACUUUCAGCGGGGAGGAAGGGAGUAAAGUUAAUACCUUUGCUCAUUGACGUUACCCGCAGAAGAAGCACCGGCUAACUCCGUGCCAGCAGCCGCGGUAAUACGGAGGGUGCAAGCGUUAAUCGGAAUUACUGGGCGUAAAGCGCACGCAGGCGGUUUUGUUAAGUCAGAUGUGAAAUCCCCGGGCUCAACCUGGGAACUGCAUCUGAUACUGGCAAGCUUGAGUCUCGUAGAGGGGGUAGAAUUCCAGGUGUAGCGGUGAAAUGCGUAGAGAUCUGGAGGAUACCGGUGGCGAAGGCGGGCCCCUGGACGAAGCUGACGCUCAGGGUGCGAAAGCGUGGGGAGCGAAACAGGGAUUAGGAUAACC
Molecule: ribosomal RNA, 457 nt
Filed under: uncultured bacterium
Lineage: Bacteria
Description: bacterial SSU rRNA
Rfam family: Bacterial small subunit ribosomal RNA
Source: RNAcentral